RNAcentral lists this ribosomal RNA (855 nucleotides) under Triticum aestivum (bread wheat). RNAcentral's name for it is "partial small subunit ribosomal RNA". Lineage: Eukaryota; Viridiplantae; Streptophyta; Magnoliopsida; Poales; Poaceae. The record is from RNAcentral.
AUGGCCAAGGAGGUGAGCGAGGAGCCGGAGCACGCCGCGCCGGCGCACAAGGACUACUCCGACCCGCCGCCGGCGCCGCUCUUCGACAUGGGGGAGCUCCGGAUGUGGUCCUUCUACCGGGCCAUCAUCGCCGAGUUCGUCGCCACGCUGCUCUUCCUCUACAUCACCGUCGCCACCGUCAUCGGCUACAAGGUGCAGUCGGCGGCCGACCCGUGCGGCGGCGUCGGCGUGCUCGGCAUCGCCUGGGCCUUCGGCGGCAUGAUCUUCGUCCUCGUCUACUGCACCGCCGGCAUCUCGGGCGGCCACAUCAACCCGGCCGUCACCUUCGGGCUCCUCCUGGCGCGCAAGGUGUCGCUGCUACGCGCGGUGAUGUACAUCGUGGCGCAGUGCGCGGGCGGCAUCGUGGGCGCCGGCAUCGUCAAGGGCAUCAUGAAGGACGCGUACCAGGCCAACGGCGGCGGCGCCAACAUGGUGGCCUCCGGCUUCUCCCGCGGCACCGCGCUGGGGGCGGAGAUCGUCGGCACCUUCGUGCUCGUCUACACCGUCUUCUCCGCCACCGACCCCAAGCGCAGCGCCCGCGACUCGCACGUCCCCGUGCUGGCGCCGCUCCCCAUCGGGUUCGCGGUCUUCAUGGUGCACCUCGCCACCAUCCCCAUCACCGGCACCGGCAUCAACCCCGCCAGGAGCCUCGGCGCCGCCGUCAUCUACAACAAGAAGGCCGCAUGGGACAACCACUGGAUCUUCUGGGUCGGCCCGUUCGUGGGAGCGCUGGCGGCGGCGGCGUACCACCAGUACAUCCUCCGGGCGGCGGCCAUCAAGGCGCUCGGCUCCUUCCGGAGCAGCCGGAGCAACUGA